UACGGAGGGAGCUAGCGUUGUUCGGAAUCACUGGGCGUAAAGCGCACGUAGGCGGAUUUUUAAGUCAGAGGUGAAAUCCUGAGGCUCAACCUCAGAACUGCCUUUGAUACUGGGAAUCUUGAGUAUGGUAGAGGUCGGUGGAACAGCAAGUGUAGAGGUGAAAUUCGUAGAUAUUUGCUAGAACACCAGUGGCGAAGGCGGCCGACUGGACCAUAACUGACGCUGAGGUGCGAAAGCGUGGGGAGCAAACAGG
RNAcentral lists this ribosomal RNA (253 nucleotides) under uncultured bacterium. RNAcentral describes it as "partial 16S ribosomal RNA". It matches the Rfam family "Bacterial small subunit ribosomal RNA", at positions 524 to 776 of the family's 1533-position model. The record is from RNAcentral.